UACGUAGGGAGCGAGCGUUGUCCGGAAUUACUGGGUGUAAAGGGAGCGUAGGCGGGACGGUAAGUCAGAUGUGAAAUUUAUGAGCUCAACUCAUAACCUGCAUUUGAAACUACUGUUCUUGAGUGAAGUAGAGGUAAGCGGAAUUCCUAGUGUAGCGGUGAAAUGCGUAGAUAUUAGGAGGAACAUCGGUGGCGAAGGCGGCUUACUGGGCUUUUACUGACGCUGAGGCUCGAAAGCGUGGGGAGCAAACAGG
RNAcentral lists this ribosomal RNA (253 nucleotides) under uncultured prokaryote. RNAcentral's name for it is "partial 16S ribosomal RNA". It matches the Rfam family "Bacterial small subunit ribosomal RNA", at positions 524 to 776 of the family's 1533-position model. The record is from RNAcentral.